UGGGCUUGGAGUUAGGUCAUAGAGAAUUUGAAUUUCUGUCCUCAGACUUGCAAGUUAUAUGACGUGAGGCAAGUGACUGGCACUCUGGGCCUGAGUUUCUGGGUCUAUUCAAUGAGGAGACCCAUAUGAACCUGGCAGAAUUGCGAUGCCAGGAGACAAGGCAUGCAAAAAUGCUCCCUGCUCCCUGCACAGCCAGGCUCCCAAGCCAGUCGGGCUUUGGAUGAUUUUACUAGACUUUUCCUACACUGUUUGCUCAUCACUCUCCCUCCUCCUCCAAAGGGACAAAUAUUACAAAGAAUAUUCAGCCUGAUGGAGCUGGCUGUGGAGUGGCAUCACAUGCUUGCACUGUGUGGCUCAGAUUACACCAGAGACGUCAUUGUCCCAGCAAGCCUCAGCAGCCUUCAAACAAGCACACCGUCUGGCACAAAGACCAAGAAAAGGUUCUGGUCCCUUGAGGUUGGAGAAGAAAGCAACUGCAAAGAAACAAGCUAUUAAUAUUAAUGUUCCAGGAAAAGGAGAAGAGAGAAAGGACACGGGCGCCCAGAAAGAAUGACUCCAUAUGGCUUUGAUGUGUUCAUUUCCACAGGACGGGAGCGGUGCAGAGAAUACAGAAUAGCUAGGAGGAGGGAAAUGAGGAGGUGAAGGUGGCUUGGCAAUCUCUGAGAAAUUACAUGAGCUGUAGGAAGUAGGUUCUGUCUAGAUAAAAAUUCAGCCAGCCAUGCUGCCAUCUGCACCCAUCUGAGAAUAAGCCAGAGCAAGGAAGCGAAGCCCCUGGUGCCCUGGGAGUUCCAACUAGUGGGUGCAGUAUUUUCUAGACAAGAGAGAGCUGAGGGUGAAGGACCUGCAGUAAAUGGAAAACUCUUGAGCUAAAAUGCAACUAGCAGCAGAACGGAUGUCACAGACUCUGUUAAGGAAAAGGCUUCCUUGGGAAUAUGGUACAAAAUGAAAAUGGGCCUGGAAGGUGUUGAAGAAGGAAGGCCUUUUGCCAGGGGGCUGUGGUUUUCCAGCCUCGACAGAUGAAUGAUUUCAGGCAGCAUAAAGACAAAUGCUAAGUGAAGACCUGUGGAGAGCUCUCCAGACACAGGGAUGGCCAGAGAUUUGGGAAAUGAGGGGACAGUCCAGUGAUGAAAAUGGAACUUUACCUGGACUUUACUGAGAGGUUAUUUCGGGGGAGAACUAAGAUCAAAGUAGAGGAAAUAAUUAAAGCUGCUGAAGGGAGCCCAGAGGGUCACUGCGGCAUACGGGAAGCACUUGGACUUUGGAAUCAGCCAAGGUCAGAGCCUUGUUCUUUCACAGAGCAGCUCUGCGAGCUGGGGAAGUUCAUUACUGCAGCGUGCUUAUCUGUAGACACCGAGAUAAUUGUGCCAGCCACACAGGGCUGUGUGAAGGCGGAUCAAUGAUAACAUGCAGAAGGACUUGAAGCAGGGCUCACACCCCUGCCCUGGCUUUCCUCCCCUCUACGCUCCCUGCUUUUCCUUUUAACUCCCAACACCUACAAUUUUGACAUGGGUCGUAGGUACUUACCUUGCUGAAAAUUUUACUGGGCCCAUGUUGAGAAAUAAUAACAAUUUGUUAUAUUUAUCUACCCCUCUGAUGUCUCAAAAGUGUUUUUAUGGACAUGGUUCUUCUUAUCAACUCUGUGAAUUAUGUUCUGACUGUAAUUUUAUAAAUGGGGACGUUGAGGCUUCUUGUACCAUCAAUACUUAAUGGCAAAAUCUUUUGGCUCAAAGUGCUUUUUUUAAAUCUACAGAUAAUUUAGAGGUAUCUGUGAGAACUCCCUUGAAUCUGGAUUCUAUGUACUAUAUAAUCAUGGCAACCUGGAAACUAGUCGGGUAGCCUCUUACUGGUUUUCCAGGGGCAUCUUGCUAUGUGACCAUCUUCCUGCAGACCAGGAAGAUGACAGGAAAUACAAAUGGAUAUGAGACACUGUCUCGGUCAGGAAAUCUCCUUGCUUCUGUUCCCAAUCCUUAACCCAAAGCCAUGGUAUCCCUAAUUAACAUUAGCCACCCAGAAAUUUCUCUUAGAAAUGCUUUUAAGAGACCUGAUGGGCAAGAGAACCUCCCAUCUUCCCUCUCCCUCCUGCCACACAUUCACACUUUUGUGCUCAGCUCUUGCCUUAACAGUCAGCCAUAGUUCCAAUUGUUCCUUCCACUGCAUGCACACAGAGGGCUUGCCUACAGUCCUCUGGCUCCUGUUCACUUGCUUGACCUGCAUUAUGUUUCCUGGCAGGAAAUAGAGCUUUCUGUCUCAACCUAGGCAAGCUGCAGGUAGCCACCCCACCCCACUGCCCACUUUAGCCACUCUGCAACCAACCAGUUCCUGGGUUCAGCACUCCUGUUGACUCUUGGGGUUCCUCGUCUGAUUCUACCUACACCUAGCACCAUAUCCCCUGGCUUUCCAGAUGGACCACAAGUAUGGUGCGAAGCUCAGAUGGAGGAUGAGCAAUAGGCAGACCAAAGCCAUGAUGCUCCCUCAUCAGGGGAGGAAUCUAUCACUUACCACAGGUUUCUGCCUUUACAAAAUAUCAAUGAGGUCCUUCUUCAGUGGCCUUGUCAUGGGAAAUUUUCGUAAAUAUUAAAGAAAAGAUCACAUGGGGGAAAAGAAUCUAAGAAAUAAAAUAAGAUCAUUGAAAUUUUAUUCAUGGUAUGCUAAUUACUUUUAGAUGUUUUCCUCAUUCUUUAAGCUUUUGUCUAUCAUUAAAAAAAAUGAAUUGUGUUGUUUGCCCUCUAACAUUUGUAGGGAACGGUGGAUGCUAAUUAAAAACCAAACCAAAAGCCACAGAUGUAAUUAUUACAUAAUGAGAUAAGGAUAACGUUAUCUGAUGCUAUUUCAUAUAACAAGAGUGAAUUUUAAUUAGAACCCCCAGGUGGUGACUAAGAAAUCAGGUAUAUAGAAAUUUUACCUUCAUUGCUAAUUUGCAGAAUAAUUAUGCUUUGCAAUUAUCGCUUGGUACUGUGUUAGUCAGCUUUCCACCAUGGUGAUGAAAUACCAGAAAAAGUCAACUUUAAAGGAGGAAAUAUUUAUUUUUCCUCACAGUUUCAGAGGUCUCAGUCCAUGGUCACUUGGCUUUUUUGCUUUCAGACCUGUGGCAACACAGGAUAUCAUGGCAGGAGUUUAUGGCAGAAGAGAUCUAUCUGUUCACCUCCUGGUGGUUAGGAAGUUAAAAAAAGGAGAGAAGGCGUCAGAGUCCCAAUGUCUCCUUCAAGGUCACCUCCCGAUACUGAUCUAACUUUCUCCAUUAAGCUUCCACCUUAAAGUUUCCACCAUCUGCCAAUGCAACAGUGUAAGAUCAAGCCUUCAACACAUGGUCCUUGGGAGGAACUCCCACCCAAACCAAAGCAGGCACAAACCCCGUUCCCCCUGAAUAGUUCAUAGAAGGAAGACGGCUCUUGGUCUUGGCCUGUGCAAAACAAAUAAAUAAAUGCACUUACCUAUUCAGGACUAGUUUGCUAAAUCUGAUACUGUGGGCCUGCAAGAUUUAGGACCAUUUGAAACAUGUAAUCAUCUAGUACCAAAAGAUUAGAUUCAUUCUUUCUAGUUUCUGUAAAGCAUAAAUAUGAGACGUCUCUGUAAUGGCAAUGAAAUAAAUAUGUUAAUGCAUCUA
Ictidomys tridecemlineatus (thirteen-lined ground squirrel) is the source of this 3604-nucleotide non-coding RNA. The record is from RefSeq and is a predicted model, not a curated record. Lineage: Eukaryota; Metazoa; Chordata; Mammalia; Rodentia; Sciuridae.